UGGGGAAUAUUGGACAAUGGGCGCAAGCCUGAUCCAGCCAUGCCGCGUGUGUGAAGAAGGCCUUUUGGUUGUAAAGCACUUUAAGCGAGGAGGAGGCUACUUGGAUUAAUACUCUAGGAUAGUGGACGUUACUCGCAGAAUAAGCACCGGCUAACUCUGUGCCAGCAGCCGCGGUAAUACAGAGGGUGCGAGCGUUAAUCGGAUUUACUGGGCGUAAAGCGUGCGUAGGCGGCUUCUUAAGUCGGAUGUGAAAUCCCUGAGCUUAACUUAGGAAUUGCAUUCGAUACUGGGAAGCUAGAGUAUGGGAGAGGAUGGUAGAAUUCCAGGUGUAGCGGUGAAAUGCGUAGGGGUCUGGAGGAAUACCGAUGGCGAAGGCAGCCAUCUGGCCUAAUACUGACGCUGAGGUACGAAAGCAUGGGGAGCAAACAG
Molecule: ribosomal RNA, 429 nt
Filed under: Acidobacteriota bacterium
Lineage: Bacteria; Pseudomonadati; Acidobacteriota
Description: Acidobacteria bacterium partial 16S ribosomal RNA
Rfam family: Bacterial small subunit ribosomal RNA
Source: RNAcentral